Molecule: transfer RNA, 46 nt
Filed under: Lyginia barbata
Lineage: Eukaryota; Viridiplantae; Streptophyta; Magnoliopsida; Poales; Restionaceae
Description: partial tRNA-Phe
Source: RNAcentral
CGGGAUAGCUCAGUGGGUAUAGCAGAGGACUGAAAAUCCUCGUGUC